Molecule: ribosomal RNA, 593 nt
Filed under: Neurospora cratophora
Lineage: Eukaryota; Fungi; Ascomycota; Sordariomycetes; Sordariales; Sordariaceae
Description: eukaryotic LSU rRNA
Rfam family: 5.8S ribosomal RNA (bases 236-389)
Source: RNAcentral
AAGUCGUAACAAGGUCUCCGUUGGUGAACCAGCGGAGGGAUCAUUACAGAGUUGCAAAACUCCCACAAACCAUCGCGAAUCUUACCCGUACGGUUGCCUCGGCGCUGGCGGUCCGGAAGGCCCUCGGGCCCCCCGGAUCCUCGGGUCUCCCGCUCGCGGGAGGCUGCCCGCCGGAGUGCCGAAACCAAACUCUUGAUAUUUUAUGUCUCUCUGAGUAAACUUUUAAAUAAGUCAAAACUUUCAACAACGGAUCUCUUGGUUCUGGCAUCGAUGAAGAACGCAGCGAAAUGCGAUAAGUAAUGUGAAUUGCAGAAUUCAGUGAAUCAUCGAAUCUUUGAACGCACAUUGCGCUCGCCAGUAUUCUGGCGAGCAUGCCUGUUCGAGCGUCAUUUCAACCAUCAAGCUCUGCUUGCGUUGGGGAUCCGCGGCUGCCCGCGGUCCCUCAAAAACAGUGGCGGGCUCGCUAGUCACACCGAGCGUAGUAACUCUACAUCGCUAUGGUCGUGCGGCGGGUUCUUGCCGUAAAACCCCCCCAUUUCUAAGGUUGACCUCGGAUCAGGUAGGAAUACCCGCUGAACUUAAGCAUAUCAAUA